RNAcentral lists this ribosomal RNA (491 nucleotides) under uncultured bacterium. Its description in RNAcentral is "partial 16S ribosomal RNA". It matches the Rfam family "Bacterial small subunit ribosomal RNA", at positions 29 to 506 of the family's 1533-position model. The record is from RNAcentral.
AGUGAACGCUGGCGGUAGGCCUAACACAUGCAAGUCGAACGGCAGCACAGUAAGAGCUUGCUCUUACGGGUGGCGAGUGGCGGACGGGUGAGGAAUACAUCGGAAUCUACUUUUUCGUGGGGGAUAACGUAGGGAAACUUACGCUAAUACCGCAUACGACCUACGGGUGAAAGCAGGGGAUCUUCGGACCUUGCGCGAUUGAAUGAGCCGAUGUCGGAUUAGCUAGUUGGCGGGGUAAAGGCCCACCAAGGCGACGAUCCGUAGCUGGUCUGAGAGGAUGAUACGCCAACCUGGAAAGGGAAACCGGUCCAGACCCCAAGGGGGGGCAGCGGGGGGGAAAUUUGGAAAAGGGGGGCAACCCUGACCCAGCCAUACCGGGGGGGGGAAGAAGGCCUUCGGGUUGUAAAGCCCUUUUUUUGGGAAAAAAAAGCAGCAGGUUAAGACCCCGCUGUUCUGACGGUACCCAAAGAAAAAGCACCGGCUAACUUCGG